Molecule: long non-coding RNA, 4098 nt
Filed under: Malus domestica (apple)
Lineage: Eukaryota; Viridiplantae; Streptophyta; Magnoliopsida; Rosales; Rosaceae
Description: long non-coding RNA (MDOM_LNC020010)
Source: RNAcentral
AAUUGGUGCAAUCUAGUUAAUUUGGGGCAUUGUCAUUCAUGGUUUGUUGAAAGAGUAAUUGGAAAUCGAGUCGUAUGCAUAUGUUUCAUGUGUGGAGAAGGAACCCUCUAGCUAGCCUUUCCCCAUUCUAUUUCAUCAAAAUCGUUUUUGUCAAGUUAGUUUACAAAGUUUUGUUUUGUUUUGAAAUUCGUCCAAAAUCAAUCCCCCUUUACUUAGUUGAGUCAUAGUAGUUAGAAAUCAUUUUAGUUUGUGUUUUUAAGUGUCUUAGGUCAAGUGAAAACCAAUUUUCGUCCAAAUUUGUGUCUAGUGUUCAAAACUGCCCAGAUUGUGGUUUUAAGGCAGUUUUGAGUGUUUCUGGGCUGUUUUGAGUCUUUUGGUUUGUUUUGGUGUUUUAAAGUUUAGUUUUGCAUUCUUUGAGUCUAGUUUAGUGUUUAAACUUGUUUUACGUAUUUGAGUCAGUUUUCAAGUGAUUUUGCAAUCCCUCCUAAUCCCCGGUUUAGAACGAUCCCUACUUACAUACUUUGCUACAAUUGAUAAAAAGAGGGUUAAUUUGUGUGUCAACAUAAUUUUCACAUCAGUGUCCCAAAAUGCAUAAAAGGCAAUCAAAGUGACUGGAACUUAAGGACAUUUAGGAAUAGGAAAGGUCAACCAAAAUAGGAAACCUUGGCUUAACUUUCCUACUUCAAGUAGGAAUCCUUGUUCUUCUAGGAAUCCUCAAAUGAGUAGGAAUCCUUUUUCAAUUAAGAAUCCUUUGUUGAUUAGGAAUCCUUCUUGGAUUAGGAAACCAACUUUCUUCAAGACUUCAAUUCAUCCAUUUCUUUUGCUCCAAAAGGCUCCAUUUUGCUUCUUUUUGCACACUUUGACCUUAGAACCUGAAAACACACAAAAGUGACUUUAAACACUAAAAUAGCUAAGUAAACACAACCUAACUGCACGAGAACAAGCCAAUUAAGUAGCAUAAAUAUGCUCCUAUCAGUAGGGAACUUGUAGGGAAUGUUUUGGGUUGUCGUAUGCAAUCAUCCAACUCAAUAACUUGUGAAAAAAACUGAGGUUUAAUUAGUGCAAUUCACGGUUAAUUUGAGGCGUUGAGUAUUCAUAGUUUAUUGAAAAGCAAUUGGAGAUCGUUUUGUAUGCAAGUGUGACAUGUGUGGAGAAGAACCUCCUAGCUAGCCUUCCAUCCAUAAGUUUCAUUCAAUUUCAUUUACAAUCUGUUUUGUUUUACAAAGUUUGUUUUUGUUUUCAAAUUCGUCAAGAACCAAUCUCCCAUUUAUUUCAAAGUGUUAGAUUAGUUAGUAAUCACUUUAGUUUGUGUUUUUAAGUGUUUUGAUUCACCCAAAUUUGUCUAAGAAUCUGUUUACUUUGUUCUUGUCUUAAUUUAAUUAUUUUCGUCCAAAAUCAACCCAUCUUAUUUCUUUGAGUCAUAUUAAUUAGAACUUGUCUUAGUUGGUUAGUUCUUAUGCAUUUAUGUUGUGUUUUCUUAGUUAAGUUAGUCUUUUAAGCUAUUUUCAUGUGUUUUCAGGUUUUAAGGACAAAGUAAGCAAAAAGAUGCAAUUUGGAGCAUUUUGGAGCAAAAUUGAGCUAGAAUGGAGCUCAUGCAUGUGGAGCACAAAGAAUGGACGAAUUUGAAGGAUUGAUGAGCUAGGAAUGUGUUUCAAAGUUGAAGACUUGAAGAUGCAAAGUUUCCUAAUUGAAGUGGGAAAGUGCUUAAUUGAAGAUGAAAUCCUAGUCAAGCAAGGAUUCCUAGUUGAAGAAUGAUUCCUAAGUGAAGUUGGAUUCCUAGAAGAUUGAAGUUUCCUACUAAAAAAAAAAAGGUUUCCUACUUGAAGAAGGGAAGUUAAAGCCAAAGAAUCAGCUCAAGUGAAGACACCUUAUCCAAAACAUUAUCCAAACCCUAUCCUAUCAUAUCCUAAUCCUAAUCCACCUAUAUUUCAGCUACUUGGGAGGAUUCCUAGCUAUAUUAGGAUGCUUAAAAUCAGAUUUCUUGAAAACCUAAUCCUUUCCUACAAAAAUGGCGCCUAGAACCUUUCUAGAAGACCUUUGCCUUGCAUUGCAAAUCAGCCAUUUUCCCUCCAUUCUGUGCCGUGAGUUUUUACCCAAUUCCCUUGGGAUUUUGGUUUCUAGAAGCCCUUAUCCCUUCCUAGAUAAGUGCCGCACCUUAUCCUCCCAUUCCCUUUGGAUUUCUGAUUUGUUUUCCUUCAAGGAUUGUGUUUUAUUUUCCUAUGCAACUUAGGCCUUUAAAUCAUUUUCCUUUGCUACCUAGGGGCUGUGAUUUUCAGCCUAUAUAUAUGCAGUGCCGCACCCUUUCAUUCACACCACCCUCUAGGAGAUUUUCACUACAUCAUUCACCCAAUCAUCCCUCUUGUGCCGUGAAUUUGCAAAGGAGAAGGAAGGAGACUCUUGGAGCCGUGCAUGACAUUCAAGGAGCUUGGAUUGUUGGAGCGUUUCUAGGUGUUUUCUAUCUUUAUGUUAAUGUUUAGAUUUAUUUAUCUUUGUUUAUUUGCGAACAUGAGGAACUAAUUUCUUUAUAGUUAGAGGGGAAUUCAAAGCCAUGAUCAUAUGUUUUAUAUGACUUGAUUUCCUCCAGUUAUGAUUUCAUAAAUCGUGAAUGUGGUUUACUUAUCUAUUUGAUUGAUAACAUGUUUAUGUAUGUUGAUUGAGGGUCGACACUUAGUUCGCAUGCAUGAAUUUGAUGCUAGAGUAUAAGGGAAUUUCACCUAAUCGUUAUUAACUUAUAUUCAUAAGUAGUAAAAGUCGCUAGUCACAAUUGUGUUAAGUAAAUCCUUGGCAAGAAGUAACAUGCGUAUUCCAUAGUUUAUGAAUGCCUCGUCAAUGCUUAUGAUUUCCAUUGAACUUAAUGAUCUUUGAUAUGUGUCUCUAUCAUUGCGUAUUCCAUAGUUAGGGUCCUUGAUAAGAAAUAAUUUGGUUGUAAUGCGUAUUCCAUUCAAUUCAAUGAAUCUAGGGAAAUCUGAGAAUUAAUUGGUGCAAUCUAGUUAAUUUGGGGCAUUGUCAUUCAUGGUUUGUUGAAAGAGUAACUGGAAAUCGAGUCGUAUGCAUAUGUUUCAUGUGUGGAGAAGGAACCCUCUAACUAGCCUUUCACCAUUCUUUUUCAUCCAAAAUCGGUUUUGUUAAGUUUGUUUUCAAAGUUUAUGUUUUAACUUUCAAUAUGUGGAGUUUGGAAUUGGUAUGAGCAUAUGAUAUCCUUGGUUCUCGCAUCUAAGUAGUAGCAUUCCAUUAAUGAGAUCAUAUCUAAAUGCUUAUUAAUUCCAGAAAAUGCUUCCUUUGUUAUACAUAUAUGUGAGCGUUCGUUUUCAUAUUUACAUCAAUCUUCUCACAUAUAACUAGUAUAGGGUGUGUAGUUAGAAAAUCUGUGUGAAAAUUGAGUGCAUAUCUAGUAAGGAAUUGAGCAAAUUCUCUAAGGCAUGUUACUACAUUCAAAAUCAUGUUUUAAUUGGUUAAAUGUGAACUAGUACGUGGUGACUAUGAUUAAGUAUGUGCUUAAGUGUGAAGAUGACUAAAAUCUGUGGGAAUGAUGAUUUUUAAUAUGUCAUGUGCAUUGGGAAUCCCUGAGGCAAACGUUGGAAGGUUAGGUUAUGUUUUGAUUAUUUUGUUUCGUUUCGUUUUGUUUCUUUGUUUUGCUCGAGGACUAGCAAAAGCUAAGUGUGGGGGAAUUUGAUAGGAGCAUAUUUAUGCGCCUUAGUUAGUUAGUUCUUAUGCAUUUAUGUUGUGUUUUCUUAGUUAAGUUAGUCUUUUAAGCUAUUUUCAUGUGUUUUCAGGUUCUAAGGACAAAGUAAGCAAAAAGAUGCAAUUUGGAGCAUUUUGGAGCAAAAUUGAGCUAGAAUGGAGCUCAUGCAUGUGGAGCACAAAGAAUGGACGAAUUUGAAGGAUUGAAGAACUAGGAUUGUGUUUCAAAGUUGAAGACUUGAAGAUGCAAAGUUUCCUAAUUGAAGUGGGAAAGUGCUUAAUUGAAGAUGAAAUCCUAGUCAAACAUGGAUUCCUAGUUGAAGAUGGAUUCCUAGUUGAAGUUGGACUCCUAGAAGAUUGAAGUUUCCUACUCAAACAAGGUUUCCUACUUGAAGAAGGGAAGUUGAAGCCAAAGAA